GAUGAACGCUGGCGGCGUGCCUAACACAUGCAAGUCGAGCGAUCUUCUUCGGAAGAGAGCGGCGGACGGGUGAGUAACGCGUGGGUAACCUGCCCUGUACACACGGAUAACAUACCGAAAGGUAUGCUAAUACGAGAUAAUAUGCUUUUAUCGCAUGGUAGAAGUAUCAAAGCUCCGGCGGUACAGGAUGGACCCGCGUCUGAUUAGCUAGUUGGUGAGGUAACGGCUCACCAAGGCGACGAUCAGUAGCCGACCUGAGAGGGUGAUCGGCCACAUUGGAACUGAGACACGGUCCAAACUCCUACGGGAGGCAGCAGUGGGGAAUAUUGCACAAUGGGCGAAAGCCUGAUGCAGCAACGCCGCGUGAGCGAUGAAGGCCUCGGUCGUAA
RNAcentral lists this ribosomal RNA (389 nucleotides) under uncultured bacterium. Its description in RNAcentral is "bacterial SSU rRNA". It matches the Rfam family "Bacterial small subunit ribosomal RNA", at positions 28 to 428 of the family's 1533-position model. The record is from RNAcentral.